Molecule: ribosomal RNA, 433 nt
Filed under: uncultured bacterium
Lineage: Bacteria
Description: partial 16S ribosomal RNA
Rfam family: Bacterial small subunit ribosomal RNA
Source: RNAcentral
AACGAACGCUGGCGGCAUGCCUAACACAUGCAAGUCGAACGAGACCUUCGGGUCUAUUGGCGCACGGGUGCGUACCGCCUGGUAACUUGCCCUUAGGUUCGGUAUACCUCCCCGACAGGUGUCCUAAUACCGGAUAUUGUCUUCGGGCCAAAGAUUUAUCGCCUUUGGAUGGGCCUGCGUUGGAUUCGCGAGUUGGUAGUGUAAAAGCCUAUCACGGCGACGUUCCAUAGCUGGUCUGUGAGGAUGAUCAGCCACGCUGGGACUGAGACACGGCCCAGACUCCUACGGGGCGCAGGAGUGGAGAAUAUUAGACAAUGAGCGAAGGCCUGAUCCAGCAAUGCCGCGGGAGUGAUGAAGGGCUUAGGGUUGUAAAGCUCUUUGAGCCGGGGUGAGAAUGACAGUACCGGGAGAAUAAGCGCCGGCUAACUACGUG